This 429-nucleotide ribosomal RNA is filed under the name Acidobacteriota bacterium. Its description in RNAcentral is "Acidobacteria bacterium partial 16S ribosomal RNA". It matches the Rfam family "Bacterial small subunit ribosomal RNA", at positions 355 to 776 of the family's 1533-position model. The record is from RNAcentral. Lineage: Bacteria; Pseudomonadati; Acidobacteriota.
UGGGGAAUUUUGGACAAUGGGGGAAACCCUGAUCCAGCCAUCCCGCGUGUGCGAUGAAGGCCUUCGGGUUGUAAAGCACUUUUGGCAGGAAAGAAACGUCAUGGGUUAAUACCCCGUGAAACUGACGGUACCUGCAGAAUAAGCACCGGCUAACUACGUGCCAGCAGCCGCGGUAAUACGUAGGGUUCAAGCGUUAAUCGGAAUUACUGGGCGUAAAGCGUGCGCAGGCGGUUCGGAAAGAAAGAUGUGAAAUCCCAGAGCUCAACUUUGGAACUGCAUUUUUAACUACCGGGCUAGAGUGUGUCAGAGGGAGGUGGAAUUCCGCGUGUAGCAGUGACAUGCGUAGAUAUGCGGAGGAACACCGAUGGCGAAGGCAGCCUCCUGGGAUAACACUGACGCUCAUGCACGAAAGCGUGGGGAGCAAACAGG